CAGAUACUGCCACCGGGUAGUGAAUGAAAAGCAUUCGUUUGCACAUCGUUAGGUCUUUGAAGAUGUGCAGCGAAUGCUUUUUUAAA
RNAcentral lists this non-coding RNA (86 nucleotides) under unclassified sequences. The record is from RNAcentral.